RNAcentral lists this ribosomal RNA (535 nucleotides) under uncultured bacterium. RNAcentral's name for it is "bacterial SSU rRNA". It matches the Rfam family "Bacterial small subunit ribosomal RNA", at positions 355 to 896 of the family's 1533-position model. The record is from RNAcentral.
UGGGGAAUCUUGCACAAUGGACGAAAGUCUGAUGCAGCAACGCCGCGUGGGGGAUGAAGCUUCUCGGAGUGUAAACCCCUUUCGACCCGGAAGAAAGCCCGCAAGGGUUUGACGGUACGGGUAUAAGAAGCCCCGGCUAACUACGUGCCAGCAGCCGCGGUAAUACGUAGGGGGCCAGCGUUGCUCGGAAUUACUGGGCGUAAAGGGUCCGUAGGCGGUGUGGCAAGUCGGGAGUGAAAUCUCUGGGCUUAACUCAGAGGCUGCUUCCGAAACUGCCGUGCUAGAGUGUGAGAGAGGCGAGUGGAAUUACGGGUGUAGCGGUGAAAUGCGUAGAUAUCCGUAGGAACAUCCGAGGCGAAAGCGGCUCGCUGGAUCACAACUGACGCUGAGAGACGAAAGCUAGGGGAGCAAACAGGAUUAGAUACCCUGGUAGUCCUAGCCCUAAACCAUCAGGACUUGGGGUUUGCCCUGUACGGGGCAAGUCCCGUAGCUAACGCGUUAAGUCCUGCGCCUGGGGAGUACGGUCGCAAGGCUG